This 510-nucleotide ribosomal RNA is filed under the name uncultured bacterium. Its description in RNAcentral is "bacterial SSU rRNA". It matches the Rfam family "Bacterial small subunit ribosomal RNA", at positions 19 to 518 of the family's 1533-position model. The record is from RNAcentral.
AUGGCUCAGAUUGAACGCUGGCGGCAGGCCUAACACAUGCAAGUCGAACGGUAACAGGAAGCAGCUUGCUGCUUGCUGACGAGUGGCGGACGGGUGAGUAAUGUCUGGGAAACUGCCCGAUGGAGGGGGAUAACUACUGGAAACGGUAGCUAAUACCGCAUAAUGUCGCAAGACCAAAGAGGGGGACCUUCGGGCCUCUUGCCAUCGGAUGUGCCCAGAUGGGAUUAGCUUGUUGGUGAGGUAACGGCUCACCAAGGCGACGACCCCUAGCUGGUCUGAGAGGAUGACCAGCCACACUGGAACUGAGACACGGUCCAGACUCCUACGGGAGGCAGCAGUGGGGAAUAUUGCACAAUGGGCGCAAGCCUGAUGCAGCCAUCGCCGCGUGUAUGAAGAAGGCCUUCGGGUUGUAAAGUACUUUCAGCGGGGAGGAAGGGGUUAAGGUUAAUAACCUUAGCCAUUGACGUUACCCGCAGAAGAAGCACCGGCUAACUCCGUGCCAGCCGCAGC